Non-coding RNA from Macaca mulatta (Rhesus monkey), 372 nucleotides. NCBI's taxonomy places the organism in Eukaryota, Metazoa, Chordata, Mammalia, Primates, Cercopithecidae. The record is from RefSeq and is a predicted model, not a curated record.
GUAACCAAUGAUUGUGACCUAGAAGGAGCAGGAAGAGAUGGUGAGCUGAGGGGUCACCUCAAGCCCCACCGGCCCAUGGUUCUUCUGAUGGAGACUCACAACAGGAGGUUUAACAGUGCCAUGGGGUCCCAAUUGCACUCACCAUCCACACCAUCAUGUAGGAGAAGGCUGCGAUCCACAGCGUGGAGGAAGCAAACGUCACCAUGAACCAUUUCUCCCAGCGCGGCUUGUUGCAGUUGGGUACAGUGAAGUAUAAGACGAAACUCAGGGGCCAGGUGAACGCCCAUUUCACUGUUUCCAGUUUACCCGCUGGAAAAAUGAAAACGGCCAAAAAGAAAUAAAAAGAAAAAAAAAAAUAAAGAACCCCAGUUA